This 901-nucleotide ribosomal RNA is filed under the name Fusarium oxysporum. RNAcentral describes it as "LSU rRNA". It matches the Rfam family "Eukaryotic large subunit ribosomal RNA", at positions 37 to 968 of the family's 3401-position model. The record is from RNAcentral. Lineage: Eukaryota; Fungi; Ascomycota; Sordariomycetes; Hypocreales; Nectriaceae.
UGCAUAUCAAUAAGCGGAGGAAAAGAAACCAACAGGGAUUGCCCUAGUAACGGCGAGUGAAGCGGCAACAGCUCAAAUUUGAAAUCUGGCUCUCGGGCCCGAGUUGUAAUUUGUAGAGGAUACUUUUGAUGCGGUGCCUUCCGAGUUCCCUGGAACGGGACGCCAUAGAGGGUGAGAGCCCCGUCUGGUUGGAUGCCAAAUCUCUGUAAAGUUCCUUCAACGAGUCGAGUAGUUUGGGAAUGCUGCUCUAAAUGGGAGGUAUAUGUCUUCUAAAGCUAAAUACCGGCCAGAGACCGAUAGCGCACAAGUAGAGUGAUCGAAAGAUGAAAAGCACUUUGAAAAGAGAGUUAAAAAGUACGUGAAAUUGUUGAAAGGGAAGCGUUUAUGACCAGACUUGGGCUUGGUUAAUCAUCUGGGGUUCUCCCCAGUGCACUUUUCCAGUCCAGGCCAGCAUCAGUUUUCCCCGGGGGAUAAAGGCGGCGGGAAUGUGGCUCUCUUCGGGGAGUGUUAUAGCCCACCGUGUAAUACCCUGGGGGGGACUGAGGUUCGCGCAUCUGCAAGGAUGCUGGCGUAAUGGUCAUCAACGACCCGUCUUGAAACACGGACCAAGGAGUCGUCUUCGUAUGCGAGUGUUCGGGUGUCAAACCCCUACGCGUAAUGAAAGUGAACGCAGGUGAGAGCUUCGGCGCAUCAUCGACCGAUCCUGAUGUUCUCGGAUGGAUUUGAGUAAGAGCAUACGGGGCCGGACCCGAAAGAAGGUGAACUAUGCCUGUAUAGGGUGAAGCCAGAGGAAACUCUGGUGGAGGCUCGCAGCGGUUCUGACGUGCAAAUCGAUCGUCAAAUAUGGGCAUGGGGGCGAAAGACUAAUCGAACCUUCUAGUAGCUGGUUUCCGCCGAAGUU